UCUUCGGCAAUGGACGCAAGUCUGACCGAGCAACGCCGCGUGAGUGAAGAAGGUUUUCGGAUCGUAAAACUCUGUUGUAAGAGCCCAACGUUGAUGAGAGUGGAAAGUUCAUCAAGUGACGGUAUCUUACCAGAAAGCCACGGCUAACUACGUGCCAGCAGCCGCGGUAAUACGUAGGUGGCAAGCGUUGUCCGGAUUUAUUGGGCGUAAAGCGAGCGCAGGCGGUUGAUUAAGUCUGAUGUGAAAGCCCCCGGCUCAACCGGGGAGGGUCAUUGGAAACUGGUCAACUUGAGUGCAGAAGAGGAGAGUGGAAUUCCAUGUGUAGCGGUGAAAUGCGUAGAUAUAUGGAGGAACACCAGUGGCGAAGGCGGCUCUCUGUCUGUAACUGACGCUGAGGCCGA
RNAcentral lists this ribosomal RNA (401 nucleotides) under uncultured bacterium. Its description in RNAcentral is "bacterial SSU rRNA". It matches the Rfam family "Bacterial small subunit ribosomal RNA", at positions 362 to 756 of the family's 1533-position model. The record is from RNAcentral.